RNAcentral lists this transfer RNA (78 nucleotides) under Hormaphis cornu. RNAcentral's name for it is "partial tRNA-Leu". Lineage: Eukaryota; Metazoa; Arthropoda; Insecta; Hemiptera; Hormaphididae. The record is from RNAcentral. RNAcentral also lists the same sequence under 1 other name.
AUUAUUAAUUUCUAAUAUGGCAGAAUUAUAUGUAUUGAACUUAAAAUUCAUUUAUAAAGAAUUAUCUUUUUUUAGAAA